GGGGUUGUGGCUCAGUGGUAGAGUGCUUGCCCUGCACACAGGAGGCACUGGGUUCAAUCCUCAGCACCA
This 69-nucleotide transfer RNA is filed under the name Ictidomys tridecemlineatus (thirteen-lined ground squirrel). RNAcentral describes it as "Spermophilus tridecemlineatus (thirteen-lined ground squirrel) tRNA". It matches the Rfam family "tRNA". From Rfam's summary of the family: Transfer RNA (tRNA) molecules are approximately 80 nucleotides in length. Their secondary structure includes four short double-helical elements and three loops (D, anti-codon, and T loops). The record is from Rfam by way of RNAcentral. Lineage: Eukaryota; Metazoa; Chordata; Mammalia; Rodentia; Sciuridae.